This 253-nucleotide ribosomal RNA is filed under the name uncultured bacterium. Its description in RNAcentral is "partial 16S ribosomal RNA". It matches the Rfam family "Bacterial small subunit ribosomal RNA", at positions 524 to 776 of the family's 1533-position model. The record is from RNAcentral.
UACGUAGGUGGCAAGCGUUGUCCGGAAUUAUUGGGCGUAAAGCGCGCGCAGGCGGUCUUUUAAGUCUGAUGUGAAAGCCCUCGGCUCAACCGAGGAGGGUCAUUGGAAACUGGGAGACUUGAGUGCAGAAGAGGAAAGUGGAAUUCCAAGUGUAGCGGUGAAAUGCGUAGAGAUUUGGAGGAACACCAGUGGCGAAGGCGACUUUCUGGUCUGUAACUGACGCUGAGGCGCGAAAGCGUGGGGAGCAAACAGG